RNAcentral lists this ribosomal RNA (483 nucleotides) under uncultured bacterium. Its description in RNAcentral is "partial 16S ribosomal RNA". It matches the Rfam family "Bacterial small subunit ribosomal RNA", at positions 30 to 506 of the family's 1533-position model. The record is from RNAcentral.
AUUGAACGCUGGCGGAAUGCUUUACACAUGCAAGUCGAACGAUGAACCUUAGCUUGCUAAGGGGAUUAGUGGCGAACGGGUGAGUAAUAUAUCGGAACGUGCCUUGUAAUGGGGGAUAACUAGUCGAAAGAUUAGCUAAUACCGCAUACGCCCUGAGGGGGAAAGUAGGGGAUCUUCGGACCUUACGUUAUAAGAGCGGCCGAUAUCUGAGUAGCUAGUGGGUGGGGUAAUGGCCUACCAAGGCGACGAUCAGUAGCUGGUCUGAGAGGACGACCAGCCACACUGGAGCUGAGACACGGUCCAGACUCCUACGGGAGGCAGCAGUGGGGAAUUUUGGACAAUGGGCGCAAGCCUGAUCCAGCCAUUCCGCGUGAGUGAAGAAGGCCUUCGGGUUGUAAAGCUCUUUCGCAAGGGAAGAAAACUUACCAUCGAAUAAAUGGUGAGGCUAACGGUACCUUGAUAAGAAGCACCGGCUAACUACGU